CAGGGCAAGCUGGCAGAAUUUGGCCUUGAACUCAGUAAGCACGUCACCUGCGUCACAACCGACGGAGCUUCGGUGAUGGUGAAAUUCGGGAAGUCACUGCCAUGUGAGCACCAACUCUGCUUCGCACACGGUGUUCACCUCGCCGUUGUCGACGCUCUGUACUCGGGUGACGCCGGGCAGACCUCUGAACAAGCAGAUGACGACCGUGGUGGUGGUGGACCUAACCAGGUGAACUCGUCAGAUGAAUCCGACGGUGAUGACGAGGAUGAGGACGACAACGUGGAAGAAAACACUACUGGUGCUACUGGUCACCACGAACUACAUAGUUCGCUCUCUCCAGUCGUUAAAAGCAUUAGAAACAUUGUCCGCUGGUUUAGAAAAUCGCCCGUACGAAAUGAAGUCCUUCAGAAAUACGUCAGAGAGGAGCGUGGGCAGGAACUGAUGCUAGUGCUAGACUGUAAAACCCGAUGGAAUAGUUUGUAUGACAUGCUAGAACGAUUUGAUAACCUCAAAGCAGCUGUCCACAAAGCACUCAUUGACAUAGGAGACAAACGUAUGAAAAUGAUCGAUGAUUAUGAAUACGCCGCCAUACCUGCGCUCAUUCGCUGCCUGAGAAUCAUGAAACUCGGAGCAGAAGCGCUAUGCAGGAGAGAAAGUGGACUAUUGGAGGCUGAAGCUGCUCUAAAGUUUAUGUUUAGCGCACUUGACAAGGAGGACUGCGCGAUUGCAUGUAAACUGUCUGAUGCGUUGAAACAGCGCAUCCGACAGAGACGGUCACGUGCGGCUAAAGUCCUACAAUCGCUCCAUAACAAAAUGUCGGCAGACAGAGACUGGAAAGAUAUUUUUCCUAGUGCCUCUCGCAAGGAAGCACAGGACUUAGUUGUCCACAUGAUGGAAAGAUUGGGAGAACAGAUGCAUGAUACCGAAGUAGGUGUAGAUACAGAAGUGAUGGACGCUGAUGAUCCUGAAUCAGCGCCGUCUCUUCAGUCGAUGCUUCAACAAGCUCUAGAUGAGGUUAGAGCUCCAGAGCAAGGCACCAGUUCAUGCCCGUCUGGGAUUAACUUUUCGCAAUCUUCUCUGAUGAUGACGAAGGCCAUAAGGAAAGAAUUGGAAAAUUUACCUAUCUCAGGAAGGACAGGCAUGGUAGCGCUGUCCUACAACUGGCUGAAGGGCAUAGUUCCUACGAGCGUUGAAUCGGAACGAGUGUUUUCCACUGUCGGGAAUAUCGUCACAAAAGUGCGGUCGAGUCUCGGCGACGAAGUCGUUGAUGCACUUUGCUUCCUCAAGUGCUACUACCGUAACAAGUGAAUGUGACCAGGACAUGCUGCUGGUCAGACGACCACAAUCCGUAGGCACGUCUACUGUAUCCUGACUCGAAAUAUAAACAAGAAAUACAAUGAUCAAUGUCAUUCAUGCUCUUAUAUUUGUUCGGGGUGAAGGUGUAUGCCUGGUAUUGUGUUUAUGAUGGUAAGGAUGCGCCAUAUACAUACGAUAUUGCAA
This 1500-nucleotide long non-coding RNA is filed under the name Amphibalanus amphitrite. RNAcentral describes it as "uncharacterized LOC122379891". Lineage: Eukaryota; Metazoa; Arthropoda; Thecostraca; Balanomorpha; Balanidae. The record is from RNAcentral.